GACAGAGGAUGCAAGCGUUAUCCGGAAUGAUUGGGCGUAAAGCGUCUGUAGGUGGCUUUUCAAGUCCGCCGUCAAAUCCCAGGGCUCAACCCUGGACAGGCGGUGGAAACUACCAAGCUGGAGUACGGUAGGGGCAGAGGGAAUUUCCGGUGGAGCGGUGAAAUGCGUAGAUAUCGUUUGGAACGCCAAAGGUGAAAACAGACAGCUGGGAGUGUGCUGACGCUGAGACACGAAAGCCAGGGGAGCGAACGGG
Molecule: ribosomal RNA, 253 nt
Filed under: uncultured bacterium
Lineage: Bacteria
Description: partial 16S ribosomal RNA
Rfam family: Bacterial small subunit ribosomal RNA
Source: RNAcentral